GUCCUCGUGGAGUACAGUAACUCAUUCCCCUGCCGUUAACCCGAUACUGUGAAGGUAUGGGAGGGUCGGUGGUUCGAUUCCACCCGGGGACA
Molecule: non-coding RNA, 92 nt
Organism: Mycena capillaripes
Lineage: Eukaryota; Fungi; Basidiomycota; Agaricomycetes; Agaricales; Mycenaceae
Source: the annotation of a GenBank genome assembly